UGGGGAAUAUUGCACAAUGGGCGCAAGCCUGAUGCAGCCAUGCCGCGUGUAUGAAGAAGGCCUUCGGGUUGUAAAGUACUUUCAGUCGGGAGGAAGGUGGUAAGGUUAAUAACCUUAUCAAUUGACGUUACCGACAGAAGAAGCACCGGCUAACUCCGUGCCAGCAGCCGCGGUAAUACGGAGGGUGCAAGCGUUAAUCGGAAUUACUGGGCGUAAAGCGCACGCAGGCGGUUUGUUAAGUCAGAUGUGAAAUCCCCGGGCUUAACCCGGGAAUUGCAUCUGAUACUGGUCAGCUAGAGUCUUGUAGAGGGGGGUAGAAUUCCAUGUGUAGCGGUGAAAUGCGUAGAGAUGUGGAGGAGUACCGGUGGCGAAGGCGGCCCCCUGGACAAAGACUGACGCUCAGGUGCGAAAGCGUGGGGAGCAAACAGG
Molecule: ribosomal RNA, 429 nt
Filed under: Chloroflexota bacterium
Lineage: Bacteria; Bacillati; Chloroflexota
Description: Chloroflexi bacterium partial 16S ribosomal RNA
Rfam family: Bacterial small subunit ribosomal RNA
Source: RNAcentral